CCAAGUGUCAAGAAGAACCAGUGUAGACAAUAUCAUGAUUUGUAGAAUCUAUGUUGAUACAUCGCUUUCUGGCUUGGUUUAUCUAUGCUAAUAAUGUCACCUUCAAAUAUUACAAAGCAAGACACGUUUAUUUUUUUUUUUAAAGAUUUAUUUUAAUUAUACAAUGAAGUUUACAAAAAAUAAAUUAAAAAAAAAAUACAUGGAAAAGACAUAGACAAGAAUUUAAGUUUGGAAAAAAGUUAUCCGAAAAUUUAUAGUUUCUACAUUUGUUUUUUUUUUUUAAACGAACUAAGUUUUUCCUUACAGCUUUUUGGGGAAACCAUAUCUAAGGGAGAGCAGCUAAGCGAAUAAACAAAGGAAACGGACUGAGUGGGAUUUUAUCUCAA
This is a non-coding RNA of Biomphalaria pfeifferi, 386 nucleotides long. The record is from the annotation of a GenBank genome assembly. NCBI's taxonomy places the organism in Eukaryota, Metazoa, Mollusca, Gastropoda, Planorbidae.